This is a long non-coding RNA of Xenia sp. Carnegie-2017, 176 nucleotides long. RefSeq lists it as uncharacterized. The record is from RefSeq and is a predicted model, not a curated record. The transcript has 2 exons. NCBI's taxonomy places the organism in Eukaryota, Metazoa, Cnidaria, Anthozoa, Malacalcyonacea, Xeniidae.
UCCAAAUAGUGCUGAAGAACAUCGGGAAUGAAAGAUUCAACCAACAUCACCGCAAUACCAUACACAGAUUUGUCAAUACUUUGGGAAGGAAGUGUUGUUGCUGUUCAUAUGACAAUCCAUUCUUGCUUGCUGAAGCCCACCGUUUUAGCGCUUGCAACCUGUGAAAGUCGCAAACA